GGGUUGUGAGGUUAAGCGACUAAGCGUACACGGUGGAUGCCCUGGCAGUCAGAGGCGAUGAAGGGCGUGCUAAUCUGCGAUAAGCGCCGGUAAGGUGAUAUGAACCGUUAUAACCGGCGAUACCCGAAUGGGGAAACCCAGUGUGAUUCGUCACACUAUCAUUAACUGAAUCCAUAGGUUAAUGAGGCGAACCGGGGGAACUGAAACAUCUAAGUACCCCGAGGAAAAGAAAUCAACCGAGAUUCCCCCAGUAGCGGCGAGCGAACGGGGAGGAGCCCAGAGCCUGAAUCAGCAUGUGUGUUAGUGGAAGCGUCUGGAAAGGCGCGCGAUACAGGGUGACAGCCCCGUACACAAAAGCGCAUGUGCUGUGAGCUCGAUGAGUAGGGCGGGACACGUGGUAUCCUGUCUGAAUAUGGGGGGACCAUCCUCCAAGGCUAAAUACUCCUGACUGACCGAUAGUGAACCAGUACCGUGAGGGAAAGGCGAAAAGAACCCCGGCGAGGGGAGUGAAAAAGAACCUGAAACCGUGUACGUACAAGCAGUGGGAGCACGACUGCGUACCUUUUGUAUAAUGGGUCAGCGACUUAUAUUCUGUAGCAAGGUUAACCGAAUAGGGGAGCCGGAGGGAAACCGAGUCUUAAUUGGGCGUUAAGUUGCAGGGUAUAGACCCGAAACCCGGUGAUCUAGCCAUGGGCAGGUUGAAGGUUGGGUAACACUAACUGGAGGACCGAACCGACUAAUGUUGAAAAAUUAGCGGAUGACCUGUGGCUGGGGGUGAAAGGCCAAUCAAACCGGGAGAUAGCUGGUUCUCCCCGAAAGCUAUUUAGGUAGCGCCUCGUGAAUUCAUCUCCGGGGGUAGAGCACUGUUUCGGCUAGGGGGCCAUCCCGGCUUACCAACCCGAUGCAAACUGCGAAUACCGGAGAAUGUUAUCACGGGAGACACACGGCGGGUGCUAACGUCCGUCGUGAAGAGGGAAACAACCCAGACCGCCAGCUAAGGUCCCAAAGUCAUGGUUAAGUGGGAAACGAUGUGGGAAGGCCCAGACAGCCAGGAUGUUGGCUUAGAAGCAGCCAUCAUUUAAAGAAAGCGUAAUAGCUCACUGGUCGAGUCGGCCUGCGCGGAAGAUGUAACGGGGCUAAACCAUGCACCGAAGCUGCGGCAGCGACACUGUGUGUUGUUGGGUAGGGGAGCGUUCUGUAAGCCUGUGAAGGUGUGUCGUGAGGCAUGCUGGAGGUAUCAGAAGUGCGAAUGCUGACAUAAGUAACGAUAAAGCGGGUGAAAAGCCCGCUCGCCGGAAGACCAAGGGUUCCUGUCCAACGUUAAUCGGGGCAGGGUGAGUCGACCCCUAAGGCGAGGCCGAAAGGCGUAGUCGAUGGGAAACGGGUUAAUAUUCCCGUACUUGGUGUUACUGCGAAGGGGGGACGGAGAAGGCUAUGUUGGCCGGGCGACGGUUGUCCCGGUUUAAGCGUGUAGGUGUGUGUUCCAGGUAAAUCCGGUUCACUUUAACACUGAGGCGUGACGACGAGGCACUACGGUGCUGAAGCAACAAAUGCCCUGCUUCCAGGAAAAGCCUCUAAGCAUCAGGUAACAUCAAAUCGUACCCCAAACCGACACAGGUGGUCAGGUAGAGAAUACCAAGGCGCUUGAGAGAACUCGGGUGAAGGAACUAGGCAAAAUGGUGCCGUAACUUCGGGAGAAGGCACGCUGACACGUAGGUGAAGUGAUUUACUCAUGGAGCUGAAGUCAGUCGAAGAUACCAGCUGGCUGCAACUGUUUAUUAAAAACACAGCACUGUGCAAACACGAAAGUGGACGUAUACGGUGUGACGCCUGCCCGGUGCCGGAAGGUUAAUUGAUGGGGUCAGCGCAAGCGAAGCUCCUGAUCGAAGCCCCGGUAAACGGCGGCCGUAACUAUAACGGUCCUAAGGUAGCGAAAUUCCUUGUCGGGUAAGUUCCGACCUGCACGAAUGGCGUAAUGAUGGCCAGGCUGUCUCCACCCGAGACUCAGUGAAAUUGAACUCGCUGUGAAGAUGCAGUGUACCCGCGGCAAGACGGAAAGACCCCGUGAACCUUUACUAUAGCUUGACACUGAACAUUGAGCCUUGAUGUGUAGGAUAGGUGGGAGGCUUUGAAGUGUGGACGCCAGUCUGCAUGGAGCCGACCUUGAAAUACCACCCUUUAAUGUUUGAUGUUCUAACGUGGACCCGUUACCCGGGUUGCGGACAGUGUCUGGUGGGUAGUUUGACUGGGGCGGUCUCCUCCUAAAGAGUAACGGAGGAGCACGAAGGUUGGCUAAUCCUGGUCGGACAUCAGGAGGUUAGUGCAAUGGCAUAAGCCAGCUUGACUGCGAGCGUGACGGCGCGAGCAGGUGCGAAAGCAGGUCAUAGUGAUCCGGUGGUUCUGAAUGGAAGGGCCAUCGCUCAACGGAUAAAAGGUACUCCGGGGAUAACAGGCUGAUACCGCCCAAGAGUUCAUAUCGACGGCGGUGUUUGGCACCUCGAUGUCGGCUCAUCACAUCCUGGGGCUGAAGUAGGUCCCAAGGGUAUGGCUGUUCGCCAUUUAAAGUGGUACGCGAGCUGGGUUUAGAACGUCGUGAGACAGUUCGGUCCCUAUCUGCCGUGGGCGCUGGAGAACUGAGGGGGGCUGCUCCUAGUACGAGAGGACCGGAGUGGACGCAUCACUGGUGUUCGGGUUGUCAUGCCAAUGGCACUGCCCGGUAGCUAAAUGCGGAAGAGAUAAGUGCUGAAAGCAUCUAAGCACGAAACUUGCCCCGAGAUGAGUUCUCCCUGAGACUUAGAGUCUCCUGAAGGAACGUUGAAGACGACGACGUUGAUAGGCCGGGUGUGUAAGCGCAGCGAUGCGUUGAGCUAACCGGUACUAAUGAACCGUGAGGCUUAACCUUACAACGCCGAAG
Molecule: ribosomal RNA, 2914 nt
Filed under: Salmonella enterica subsp. enterica serovar Enteritidis
Lineage: Bacteria; Pseudomonadati; Pseudomonadota; Gammaproteobacteria; Enterobacterales; Enterobacteriaceae
Description: bacterial LSU rRNA
Rfam family: Bacterial large subunit ribosomal RNA
Source: RNAcentral